This is a long non-coding RNA of Perognathus longimembris pacificus (Pacific pocket mouse), 209 nucleotides long. RefSeq lists it as uncharacterized. The record is from RefSeq and is a predicted model, not a curated record. NCBI's taxonomy places the organism in Eukaryota, Metazoa, Chordata, Mammalia, Rodentia, Heteromyidae. The transcript has 2 exons.
CUCAAAGUGAUAGAGUGCUAGCCUUGAGCAAAAGGGCUCAGGGACACGACCCAGACACUGAGUUCAAGCCCCCAUGGCCAGCCAAAAAUAAGAUGAAAAUAGUUCACUUUUACUGAGGUCUGAAUCUGGCAGGUACUUUAUAUGACCUAAAACAUUAACCUCUUACCACCACUCUAUAAAGGCACUAUUAUUGUCCCAGAUUUAUGGAU